CCGGCCUAGGGGAAAGUAGGUUCGGGGGUCUGAGCGACAGGUCGACCCCGUGAACUACAGGAAGCCCCGCCUCCACCUUCCGGCACCAAGGUUCCCCUGCCUCGGUUACCGGCUCCGGAAAUCCCACCCCCUCGCUGUCGCUUCCCAGGCGACAACGCCGGCCCCAAUCCCCGGUUCCACCUGCUGUCUAAUCGCCCCCAGCAUUCUUGUGGGAAACGCCCGCCUGAAGAUUCCUGGCUUUGUUUGGGAACCUUAGCAUGCUCUCCAGAGACCGAUUAAUUAAGGGCCAUUACGAUUCCAUCACUCAUUCCGCUUCAGGUUGGAGUUCCAUAGUCACAUAGGAUUGAAGUGGUCUCCACGAUCCCGUGAAUUUAAAUGAAAACCGAGACGAGGGGCUGGGGAUGUGGCUCAAGAGGUAGCGCGCUCGCCUGGCAUGCGUGCGGCCCGGUUUCGAUCUCAGCACCACAUACAAAAAAACAAAGAUGUUGUGCCCGCCGCUAACUAAAAAAAUAAAUAUUAAAAAAUUCUCUUACUCUCAAAAAAAAAAAAAACCGAUAAUUCCAACAUUCAGCUUUGCACUGAGAAUCAAUUAACUGCCGCUCUCCGUCUUCGGAAAAUGUAGAACACCUAACACACACUUGUAGAGGUAAAACUCUUUAAUCUCAGAGCGCCCCUCCCAAUUUCCGACCCCCCCCCCACUCUCUCCCCCACACCAGGGCCGGAGAGUGAGCCCCCUGCCCUCCACCUCUGGUGGACGAGGGCCCUUUAAGGCACCUAUGGGGGUGGGGGAAGAGGAGCGGGAGCUGGUUCCGUCCUGGAUGCAAGGACGGGCUUGGAUUGGCAGGUGUUUGUGGGAUGGAAUCAAUGAGGUGGGGUGUCACAGGCAGACACGGGAUUGGGCCAUCCCUGAGGUGGCCAGGGUCACAACUGUCAGGACUAGGGUUAAAAAACGACCCCAACCCGGUAGUGUAAAGCCAUAAACUGGAAGCCGCAGUUCUGGGCGCCGGAGGCUUGGCCGCUGUCCCCGCCGAGCCAGUGAGGUGGGACAGUUCUGGAAGGGUGGGCGGGCCUAGGGAGACUGACCGAGCCCGCGAGCAGACUCAAGCCAAUCACAGAGCUGCCCAGUCACCAGGCUCGAGUCGGUGCCACCACCCACUCCUGGGCUUGGCAGUGCUCCUUCAGGGACCGUCAAGGCCGCGAGAGCGAAACCACCUUCGCUUAGGCAGAGCUGACCCCGGGAGGCUUAGGACCGGCCUGGCCCCGACGGCGGGCGGAAGCAAUCAAAGAAUCUGACGCUGGGCAGAAAAAUGGGCGACAGACACCACGCGAAGAGUGGCCAGAUCGCGCUCCUGGGCGGGAGAUCGAGGGCUGGAAGGGCGGCGGGAAGUGCAGGGCGGGUCAGUCCUGGGACCGCGGAUUCGUGGGGACUGUCCCGGCUCCGGCUGGGAUUGGCCAGCCCCGGGGGCGCGGCGGGGGUGUAGUGUGGGCGGGGCGGACGCGGCCCGAGAAGCUUCGUGGGCCUCAGUAUUUCCGCUUCAGCUUUUGGAAGUCGCUGGUGUUGAGCCGAGGUCGUGGCAAAUCCCCGAAGACCUGGGUGUCCUCAGCCUCCCGCAGAACCAACGCGCGCAUGCUCGCCGCGAUGCGGUCGAGGUCCGGCGAGGAGGGCUGCAGAGACGUGGGCGGGGCGGGUCAGCACCCUCGGCCCGCGGCACACACCCAGAGCUCCAGCAUUCAGCCCCUGCACCCUGGGCAACAGGCCCGCUCCCAGCUGGUCCCGACCCUCCCGAUUGUGCCCUGCGAUGCCCACCGCCAGCCAUGCCCUCUUGCUCCAUUCUUCUACCCAACUCACACUUCCUCUGGCAGCUUUGUUGGCCUCUCCCCCUCCCCAUCUUGACCUGUGUGCCACCACAGCUGCCUGUUCCACCGCGGGGAGGGGUCUCAGGCACCAUUUGGGCUAAAGAUACAGUCACAUUCCAAUCAGAUCUCUGCUGCGGACUAGCUAGCUGUACAUAAGAGAUUUUGCCUUCCUAGGCCUCAGUCUCCCCUUCUGAAAGAUGGGUAUAACAGGGCCUGGGGAGGGCUGAAAUUGGAUAGUCAUUUCAGAGAUGGAGCAAGGAAGGUGAACUAUCAGGUGGUCUGCACAGAAAGGACCCUCAUAUCCACCCAGUGCUCCUCCAUCAAAGCCCUCCAUUAGGCUGGGAGAGGCCACAGGCACUAGUUGGUCAGGAGCCCAUGAGGAGGACAGCCCAGGGUCCAGCACUAGGAGGCCUUGAAGGUUCAAUCGGUUAACUGUGUGACCAUAAGCUGCCAACAUGGACAGCAGCACUGCACCUGAUGCCUCACUGGGCCCUUCUACAACCUGGGGGCAGAAAAAUGGGCGACAGACCCCACGUCCAUUUUUCUGCCCAGCGUCAGAUCACUCAUCUCUAAGUAAAUAAACACUGAGUCUUGAGGGGAACAAUGCCAGGCCUUCUCCCUUGCAGCCCACUGCUCUUCUAAAGGAAGCUGGGUUCCAGUCUCAGACCUCUGGGAGGCCAUGCGUCCUCAGUGCCUCACUUUCCUCCUGGCUUCAAGGAGUCCCAGUGUUUGGUAGCUGGAGCUACCCCAGGAGAGCAGAGGAGGCCUUCCGAACAGCAUGGCUACAGGACUGUGGCUGGAAACCUGCCUCUCACGGCUGAGUGGGCUUCAGGGAGCUCACAGGUGAGAAGGGCAGCAGAUCUGAGGGCUUCCUGCAGCAGGUGGCUCUGAGCCUGUCUAGUCUCCCUCCUCCCCAGCCCCACCUGCCCCUCACCGGCCCGUUCUCCUCAUCUGAUGACCGGGCCUCUGUCCUCUUCUCUUUGAAGGCCCAGACAGGCACCGACACGGGCAGAGACCGGGCAUACUGCUGUGUGGGCAGCGCCGAGGCUGGGGGCAUGGAGUAGGCUGGGGGGCCAGCUGGGGUCUCCUCGCUCAGGCUGCCAUCUGUGAGAAAGGGGUACUUCAGCCUCUGUCCCUGUUAGCAUUCCUGGUUCCUGGGUGUGGGGACAGCGGGGGACACUCACCAUCUGUGCUCUCAGGGUCUGACUCGCAGAAGGGGGGCAAGUCCUGGAGGGUGGCAUCCUCGUCCAUCACAAAGAGCCCUGAGGAUGGUGUCAAGAGGCCCUGGCCAGUCAGGUUGCUAUCCUGCUACAAGUGCCCCAACUCCAGCCACUGUCACUGCUUUCUGGGGUCUCCUGCAAUUAUUAGUCUCUCAGCCUCAAAUACACGGUGCUCGUUAUCUGUCCGGUCAUGAGGAGAAUUCAUCUGUCAACCUGUCACACCCUCAGAUGCAAAAAAUACCCUGGCUAACAAGGAGCCUCUAAGAUCUGUUUUGGACAAUCAAUGUGACUCAGAACAUAGGCUUAGAGAAAAUGGCACAAUUGUGACACCUGCUUGACAAAAGGAGAGGCUCUGACAGAUUGUGUCGCUGGCUGGAGGUCCCACAGCAAGUAAGUGACAUCACCAGGAUUUCAACUCUGCACACCUGGCUCCUGUCUGUACCUUCCUUCUCGGCAGGUGUUGUCCAGCAACCGGAGGAGGCCGAGGCCAGGCAUUGGUGACAACAGAGAGUAAUUCCUAUUAAUUGAUUCCCCUGCACACUCUCUCACUCCUCAGAACCUCAGUGUUGAGUGCAGCCUCUGGGAGGAACCCCUGCAAGCUGGCUGCUCCCUGACUGGGGUGGCUGCUGGGUGACGUUUCAUGAGACACAGUCCCAAGGGCCUCGGCCCCCCUGGAAAGUCACAGCAGGCAGCUAGCCAGGACCAGAUCCCCAGCCCCUGCCUGGCACCUUCUUACCUCCGUUAUCGCUGCCACCCAGCCGAUCCCCGGAGGUCUCUGUCUCCGUUGGUUCAUCCUCCUCGUCCUCCUCAUCCUCCCUGGCCAGAGCAGGCUGGGGUGGGCUUGGGGCAGGGCUGGGCGGCUGUGGUUCUGGUGGGGGCCCGGGGGGCCGGGCGGCAGCAGCUGCCCUAUGAGCUUGGGCAAUGUCAUGGAGGCAGCGGCGGGCAGCCUCAGCCAGGGCCCCACGGCCAUGGGCUGCAUAGGCACAGGGCCCUGGGCGUGGUGGUGGCGCAGCCGUCAGCAGCACCAGCUCUGUGCCUGUCCGGGCCCGGAAGCGCUCGGCGGCCCCCACCACAGCCUCCCACAGCUCCUCCGGCCGCCCUGACGCCAUCAGCGCCCUGUGGGCCAAAGCAGGACAAAGGGGGAUGAGGCUCAGGUGCCCAUACUGUUCCCACCCAGCCUUGUCCACCUGUCCCCUGGAUGCCACUCAUGUCCCUCACAUCCACUUUGCCCGGCUAAGCUUGGUGCUUUCUGCAAACCUGCUACUUCCCUGGGCCCCUCACACUACCCCUCACUCACACCCACCUCCCUCCUGCCCCAAAUAUCUGCACCGUCCUUUCCCAGCCCCAGGUCUCCUUUUGGCUCUGCCCUGUCCCACAUGCGAGUCAGCAGUCCUUGGAAUGUGGCAGCUACAAGCAGAGAGGUGCUAUGAGCGUCACAGCCAUGCCGGGUUUUGAAGAUUCAGUAUGAAGAAGCAGAAGGCAAAACUGCUCGUGGCUUCUAGGAAACUGGCAGGCUGGCACUGCAUUUCUGUUGAACCAGCUGCACCAUCACCCCAGCCUCCAGUCACAUAACAUGAGGCCCAGAGGGUCAUCUCCACCAAGAGCUGACCCUACCACUUGCGGAAUUCCCAGGACAAGGUGGUCCCCACACCUGGAAGACUGGACCUCCAUUCAAGGCCAACCAGUCACUCAUCCUGUGUGAAUGAAACUUCCCUCACCCCUGAUUAAGCCAAUUCCCCUCCUUGGGGCUCCUGCAUCUGAGCAACCUCCUGUUACAGCACAAUCCCCUCAGGAAAGGAUUGAAUAAAGGGGAAAAAAAAAAAA
Molecule: long non-coding RNA, 4901 nt
Organism: Marmota monax (woodchuck)
Lineage: Eukaryota; Metazoa; Chordata; Mammalia; Rodentia; Sciuridae
Exons: 3
Source: RefSeq, a predicted model, not a curated record